GUCCGCCAUUUUGCUGAGAAGGAAUAGGCAAGGGGAUUCCAUGGUACUUAGUACUGGACUCUGUGACUGAGACUCUAUAGAAAAUGCAUCGGACGUCCUAGAGGACACGUGUUUCCUAAAAGACGCCAGAUAGAAUAUUUCGUAGAGCCAGAGUGGGAUAAAUAUGCACUAUAGGACCCUAUACUUCUUGGGCCCAAUUGGAAAAUUCCAUACAGACGCUCAGGUAUGACCAUAGUCUACCGGUAAACAGUCCAUCCUACAGGCCAGCAUGCCAGUUGUAAAGUGCCCAUUCCCAGACUGCACUUAUGAGACAGAAGAUGUGGCAGAUACCAUUGUCAACACACUAUUGACAAUACAUGCACAAAGCCAUAAUGCCACUUCCUCUCAGUCAUCUACAAAUGUCAAAACUGACAAGAUUCGUCGCCCCACAAUAUCUACAGCGGGUACUAGUGAAGAUUGGACUUACCUUAUUCCGCUGACAUCUUUCACUCUUUCAUAGGAGGCAUCAAACUAAUGGAUGGUGUAAAUGAUUACACUGACAUUGAGGAAAAUUUGAUUGACUCUGCUAAUUAUGCCCUUGAUUCCACAAUUAAGUCAAUUAUAUGGAACCAAGUUAGGCAGGCUACAGCAAGUGAUGAAAAUAUGAAUCAGCUACUGUCAAUCAUUGAUUUAGGAAUCCCCAAACACCGCCAUGAAUUGCCACCUUCAUUGCGCGAAUACCACCAAUUCAGGGAACACAUCUACAGUGUUGAUGGUGUUAUUAUUUACAAGGAUCGCAUUAUUAUACCACCAUGCCUUAGGGAACAAAUACUCUCUGCACUUCACGCUGCUCACCAAGGCAUAUCAUCCAUGAUAUCCAGAGCAGAGGCUUCUGUAUUCUGGCCAGGUAUAACUGCGGACAUCACUGCUGUGCGUGCAAAUUGUAACCAUUGUCACCAGAUUGCACCAUCACAACCCUCUGCGCCACCCUACAAUCCCAUACCACCAAAGUAUCCUUUUCAGUGCAUCUGUGCAGAUAUUUUCAUGUUUAAGGGUACUCACUACUUGGUCAUUGUUGACAGAUACGCCAACUGGCCAAUUGUAGAAUAUGCAUCUGGAGGAUCUAAAGGACUAAAAACUAGUCUACGCCGUGCAUUCUCUACUUAUGGGAUCCCAGAGGAAUUGGCUUCCGAUGGAGGCCCUGAAUUCACUUCUUCUGAAAUUCACGCAAAUUCCUUGAAGAUUGGGGUGUACAUCACCGUUUAUCAUCUGUAGCAUUUCCCCACAGCAAUUGUCGCGCUGAAGUUGGUGUCAAAACAGUCAAACGAUUGCUUAUGAACAAUACAGGACCAAAUGGUGAGUUGGACACCAAUUCAGUGCAGCGUGCAAUAUUACAGUACCGUAAUACACCUGAUCCAGAUACAAAACUGUCCCCUGCAAUGUGUAUAUUUGGAGGCCAAUAAGGGAUUUUAUUCCAAUACUACCAGGUCGAUACGAACCACAUCCUACAUGGAAGUCAACAUUAGCAGCACGUGAGGAAGCACUCCGUAACAGACAUAUGAGAUCCGCAGAACACUGGAGCGAACACACUAGACGCCUACCACCACUUGCUAUUGGAUGCCACGUUCGUAUUCAGAAUCAGACUGGUCCGCAUCCAAAUAAAUCGCACAAAACUGGCACUAUUACUGAAGUAAAACAGUUUGACCAGUACCUGGUGAAAGUUGAUGGAUCUGGACGUGUGACACGACGCAAUAGAAAAUUCUUAAGGAAAUUUAUUCCGUAUGUGUCAUCUCUACCUCGUCACUCUAUCAUUGAUGACCUAAAACACAGAUUUGACAUACAACAGCCUGCAGUAAACAAUGACACACCUACAUUCAGCAAAUUACCAGAACCAGAAUCUACCUUAUUGAAAAAUUCACAAGAGUCAGUGGAGUCGGAAAAAACUGCCACCACAACUCUACCCAUAGGACCAAAUGAAACUGAUGGAAAGUGUAAAAAAACAGGAACACUUCCUUUAACACAACCAUCUCAUGAAACUCCUAAAGCACUUCCAAAACCACCACGGAUGUUAACAAGACUUUUACCACACAACAAACCCGGACUAAAGGAAUCAAAUGAAGGACUACGCAGAUCUGUAAGACUAAAUAAAAACUAACUUUAACCGUCUUUAAUGUUUAAAAGACUGGGGGGGCAUAGAGAAUAAUGAGCAUACUGUAGUUUUCAUUCAAAGGUAAUUGCUUACCAAGAGUACUUAGUCAGAUGUUAGAUGUAGCCAAAGGCUAUGUUGCAUCAGUACUUACCUGGAGAACAUGUCAUUCUCUAUAUGCACACUGUGUAGGCCUAUAUAGUGAAUCAUUCAGACACUGGACUUCACCCUGAUAGGAGGUGUGCAGGACUUUUUAUACCUGAGGUGACUUUCAUUU
RNAcentral lists this unclassified non-coding RNA (2402 nucleotides) under Lingula anatina. RNAcentral's name for it is "uncharacterized protein K02A2.6-like, transcript variant X1". Lineage: Eukaryota; Metazoa; Brachiopoda; Lingulata; Lingulida; Lingulidae. The record is from RNAcentral.